Mercenaria mercenaria is the source of this 1736-nucleotide long non-coding RNA. RefSeq lists it as uncharacterized. The record is from RefSeq and is a predicted model, not a curated record. Lineage: Eukaryota; Metazoa; Mollusca; Bivalvia; Venerida; Veneridae. The transcript is spliced from 3 exons.
CUUAGAAUAUGAACCGCAUGAUUUACUGCGCAUCCUUUAAACUACCCAUAUAGCGUAAUGUUUUGUGUUAAAUGUUACGAAUUGAGAUAACUGUUAAAUAAGUUUGUGAUUACGCCUCACGCCUUACGAAAGAUUAGAUGAUGAAUACAGCAUUUAUCUUCUGCGUUUUCGUAGCUCUGAUAUGUUUUGUUUCAGCACAGGAAUAUAAAUACUGCAACAACGGUCAAGACUGUUUGGAUGUUAAAUGUUCUGACGAAACAAACGCGACUUUUUGCCACUCACGAGUGCCACUGCCACGAAUAUAUUGAGUGCUACUUUAACUCUCAAUGUAAACACUGCGGUGUUACAAACUAUAGCUGCGAUAAAGGCCGUUACCACGGUCCUGACUGUACACAUGAUAGGAAGUAAAAUGAUAGUGCAAAGACUUAAAACGUGCGGAAACUGAAACUGAAAAUCUAAUUUGAUUCAAUGCCAAUUUUUAUACAACGACAUAUUCAAUGGCGUUGUACAUUUAAUUAAACAUGAUGGAAUGUGAAAAAACUCACAAAAAUUUAAAAACUAACACCUGCUGUUAUCGCAUUUAAAACAGUUAUCAAACAAUUUAAAACAUUGCCAUAACGUCUCUAAAAUACAGUGUCUUAAGAUUUUGUUUGAAUGUAUCAAGUGAUUCACUUUUGCGUAAUGCUAACGGCAGUUCAUUCCACAGCUUUGGACCAAUAGCACAGAAACUUUUAUCAUAGAAUGUUUUCCGCUUGCUUGUUUAGAACUGUCAAAUUUCCUCCUGUUAAGGACAAGUUUUGCACACAUGUUUUGAAUAUAUUGCAUCAUACGCACCUCACCGUUAGCUACACCAUACAGUAUGACAUUGCAGUAAUCCAGAUGUGAAACAAGUCGAAAGAUUUCCUGCGGCCAGAAGUUAUACAGACCAGAAAUUGUUGAUAGUAACUUAUGGAUGAAUAACGUACUUGUUUCGUGUUUUAUUAUACCAUUACGCUUUAAUGUAAGAAAUAUUACUCCAUUCUACAUGAUUUACAAGUAGAUAUAUGAACUAUGUAUUUCUUAAUUCUGAAAGUUAUUGUUUUGAGCAAAAAUAACUAUAUUUUCCUUUCAUGUAUAACAUAACUUUUUAGAUCAACUGGUCGCAUUCCUUGACUAUUGAAAUACUUUACUAGAGCUUUCACAAAUGUGAUACAUGCCUUCACCUGGGAAAUUGAAAAGCAAUUAACAUAAAAGCCCUUAUGCACAACAAGUUAUCAAUGUUGAUCAUUGCUGAAAGUUUGAAUAAAUUAUAUGAAAUAAUGAAUGAGGAAUCAGGUCACAAACAUUUCUCUAUAUAUCAUAUAGAGUGCUAGCUAUAUUGCAAAAACGGCGUUUCAUAAAUGCGAUAAGCCAAUCGCAUAUCGGUAAAAAGUCAGGUGAAAUCACCCAGUCCCCAAGUGCUAUACUGCUUGUUGCGUUCCAAUGCAGGUAAUAAUUAGAGACAAAACUAAAAUUUCAGUGGCUGCUUUGAUUAAAUAUUUGCGGAUGUUCUUUAUUCGUUGGUAAUUCAACAUGGCUGUACGACAUUUGCGAUUUACAUGAUCUUUAAAGUUUAAGGGUUCAUUAAGAAAUGCACCAAGAUAUCUAAUUAUGCUUUCACGUUUGAUAUCAUCACCAGCAAUGUUAAUCGGAUUUGUAAAACAUUUGUUCAAUUGAGGUCUGCUACCAAACAUAAUAAACUCAAUUUUUGAAGUGUU